AAUAUUUGACACUGGGGGGAACCCUGAUCCAGCCAUGCCGCGUGUGUGAAGAGGGUCUUCGGAUUGUAAAGCACUUUAAUUUGGGAGGAAGAGUUGUAGGCUAAUAACUUGCGAUUUUGAUGUUACCAACAGAAUAAUCACCGGCUAACUUCGUGCCAGCAGCCGCGGUAAUACGAAGGGUGCAAGCGUUAAUCGGAAUUACUGGGCGUAAAGGGCGCGUAGGUGGGUCGUUAAGUUGGAAGUGAAAGCCCCGGGCUUAACCUGGGAAUUGCUUUCAAAACUGACGAGCUAGAGUACGGUAGAGGGUAGUGGAAUUUCCUGUGUAGCGGUGAAAUGCGUAGAUAUAGGAAGGAACAUCAGUGGCGAAGGCGACUACCUGGACUGAUACUGACACUGAGGUGCGAAAGCGUGGGGAGCAAACAGG
This 424-nucleotide ribosomal RNA is filed under the name uncultured bacterium. RNAcentral describes it as "partial 16S ribosomal RNA". It matches the Rfam family "Bacterial small subunit ribosomal RNA", at positions 360 to 776 of the family's 1533-position model. The record is from RNAcentral.